UGCAAGUCGAACGAUGAAGCCCAGCUUGCUGGGUGGAUUAGUGGCGAACGGGUGAGUAACACGUGAGUAACCUGCCCUUGACUCUGGGAUAAGCGCUGGAAACGGCGUCUAAUACCGGAUACGACCUGCCCCGGCAUCGGGUGCGGGUGGAAAGUUUUUCGGUCAAGGAUGGACUCGCGGCCUAUCAGCUUGUUGGUGAGGUAAUGGCUCACCAAGGCGACGACGGGUAGCCGGCCUGAGAGGGUGACCGGCCACACUGGGACUGAGACACGGCCCAGACUCCUACGGGAGGCAGCAGUGGGGAAUAUUGCACAAUGGGCGAAAGCCUGAUGCAGCAACGCCGCGUGGGGGAUGACGGCCUUCGGGUUGUAAACCUCUUUUAGUAGGGAAGAAGGACUUCGGUUUGACGGUACCUGCAGAAAAAGCACCGGCUAACUACGUGCCAGCAGCCGCGGUAAUACGUAGGGUGCAAGCGUUGUCCGGAAUUAUUGGGCGUAAAGAGCUCGUAGGCGGUUUGUCGCGUCUGCUGUGAAAACCCGAGGCUCAACCUCGGGCCUGCAGUGGGUACGGGCAGACUAGAGUGCGGUAGGGGAGAAUGGAAUUCCUGGUGUAGCGGUGGAAUGCGCAGAUAUCAGGAGGAACACCGAUGGCGAAGGCAGUUCUCUGGGCCGUUACUGACGCUGAGGAGCGAAAGCGUGGGGAGCGAACAGGAUUAGAUACCCUGGUAGUCCACGCCGUAAACGUUGGGAACUAGAUGUGGGGACCUUUCCACGGUCUCCGUGUCGCAGCUAACGCAUUAAGUUCCCGCCUGGGGAGUACGGCCGCAAGGCUAAAACUCAAGGAAUUGACGGGGGCCGCACAAGCGGCGGAGCAUGCGGAUUAAUUCGAUGCAACGCGCAGAAACUUACCAAGGCUUGACAUAUACCGGAAACUCCAGAAUGGUUGCCCCGCAAGGUCGGUAUACAGGUGGUGCAUGGUUGUCGUCAGCUCGUGUCGUGAGAUGUUGGGUUAAGUCCCGCAAC
This 1022-nucleotide ribosomal RNA is filed under the name Rathayibacter tritici. RNAcentral describes it as "bacterial SSU rRNA". It matches the Rfam family "Bacterial small subunit ribosomal RNA", at positions 56 to 1093 of the family's 1533-position model. Lineage: Bacteria; Bacillati; Actinomycetota; Actinomycetes; Micrococcales; Microbacteriaceae. The record is from RNAcentral.